RNAcentral lists this unclassified non-coding RNA (364 nucleotides) under Hevea brasiliensis (rubber tree). Lineage: Eukaryota; Viridiplantae; Streptophyta; Magnoliopsida; Malpighiales; Euphorbiaceae. The record is from RNAcentral.
UGGUGGUUGUUGGGGUUGUGGGUUAUAUGAAAACACCCCGUGGUCUCCGUUCACUGAACACUGUCUGGGCCCAACAUUUGAGUGAGGAAGUGAAGAGGAGAUUCUACAAGAACUGGUGCAAGUCCAAGAAGAAGGCAUUCACCAAGUACUCUAAAAAGUUUGAAUCUGAAGAUGGGAAGAAAGAUAUUCAGUCUCAGUUGGAGAAACUGAAGAAGCAUUGUUCUGUUAUUCGAGUCUUGGCGCACACCCAGAUCAGAAAGAUGAAAGGGUUGAAGCAGAAGAAAGCCCAUCUGAUGGAGAUUCAGGUAAAUGGUGGGGAUGUUGCCAAGAAGGUCGACUUUGCCUACAGUUUCUUUGAGAAGCA